AUUGAACGCUGGCGGAAUGCUUUACACAUGCAAGUCGAACGGUAGAGGGGGCAACCCCUCGAGAGUGGCGAACGGGUGAGUAAUAUAUCGGAACGUGCCCAGUCGUGGGGGAUAACGUAAAGAAAGCUACGCUAAUACCGCAUACGAUCUAAGGGUGAAAUCGGGGGAGCGCAAGACCUCGCGCGAUUGGAGCGCCCGAUAUCAGAUUCGGUAGUUGGUGGGUUAAAGGCUCACCAAGCCAACGAUCUGUAGCUGGUAUGAGACGACGACCAGCCACACUGGAACUGAGACACGGUCCAGACUCCUACGGGAGGCAGCAGUGGGGAAUUUGGGACAAUGGACGCAAGUCUAAUCCAGCCAUUCCGCGUGCAGGAUGAAGGCCCUCGGGUUGUAAACUGCUUUUGUACGGAACGAAAAGGUCUCUCUUAAUACGGGGGACUCAUGACGGUACCGUAAGAAUAAGCACCGGCUAACUACGUGCCAGCCGCCGCGGUAA
This 496-nucleotide ribosomal RNA is filed under the name uncultured bacterium. Its description in RNAcentral is "partial 16S ribosomal RNA". It matches the Rfam family "Bacterial small subunit ribosomal RNA", at positions 30 to 523 of the family's 1533-position model. The record is from RNAcentral.